This is a long non-coding RNA of Astatotilapia calliptera (eastern happy), 1596 nucleotides long. The record is from Ensembl. Lineage: Eukaryota; Metazoa; Chordata; Actinopteri; Cichliformes; Cichlidae.
CGUUAUUACCGCACCCAACUGCAAAGUAUACACAGGAUCUAACAAAAUCAUGACCUAGAUCUGCUGUACGAAGCUGUGGAUUAGAUGCCUGUAGCUUUGUGGAAAAAAAGCUGUGCAUAGAAACGUGAAAAGUGAGCACACACAAACUGUUGAUCCUCCACUUCUAAACCACAAAAAUCGAUACACAGAUGUAAGAUAGUAGCAGAGUUUCUCAUAAACACCUUUAUGUUUGAAUACUAACACGAGGUGUUCAGGAGAGCAAUCAAGUAUCCCUCUGUUGUUGCUUCUGUUCUCCUCUUAUUUUACCUAGCUUGUCAGGUGAGAUAGUAUAGAAUGAACUUCAAAUCAUAACAGGUGAGAUUGUAUUAAAUGAGUUACUUACAGCAACGACAAAUCAAAUUAAAUAAAAAAAAAAAACCCCAGGAAGUGGAAGUGAAAACAGGUGACAAAACCUACGAAAUGAUCCACUGACGCCACUGAUUUCUGUACAUUUUUUCUUAUCUAAAGUUAUCAGACUCUGCCACUUUUGCAAUAUUUAUCUGUGACUCCGUUGUUUUUACACUAAGAAGCCAAGUGUGUCUCAAAAACAGAUGGACACUUUGCUCUAUUCAGAGAGUGUGGCAGCUCCAGUCAGGCCUUUUGAGAAAAUGAGAGAUGCAGAAGAGCACAUGACGACGUAUCUGUCCCCAGAGACAGCAGCUAGUUGUCAAAAAUGCACACGUGCUCACAAUGGUUGUUUUCCCUUUUUCAGCUACACUGGCCUCAUGACCUUAUGACCAUGUCCAAAGAGUUAGAUUCUUCUGCUCAAUAUGUACGCACAACAAAUGGAUGACACUUUAACCAGGAGGUGAGGCUAUAAGCUAUGAAGGUUUUUAAGAAACAAACUGUUGGUAAUACAUGUGCUGAGUUUUGUAUUAUCUUUUAAAUUUGUUUGCUUAACUCGGUUUUUUUUUUUGGUUUUUUUUACAUGUGAAGGAUUUUUAUUGUUCUGCUGCACUUCUUUUCAGUGUUGCCAUCUUCCCAGAGCUCUGAAAUGGCAAACAUAUGGGCUUAAUGUGGGCUACUUUUGACAUAACUGAGGUGGUUAUUGGAAUAACCUAUUAAGUUAUAUUUUUUUCAUCCAAACACUGCCUGAAAGCUCAACUUGACCUGAGUUGCUGGUAGUAUUGUAUGGGCCUGAUGAUACCUGGCAUCUAAAAUCUGACCUUAAAUUUUUUAAGCAAUAGGGGAAUAGCAACAUUUACCAGAUUUCCCAGAGUCAAUGAUGUCAGUCGAGGACAAUUAUGGCCAUAGAAAACUGUAGAUGUGGGUCUCAGCAGGAUCAAACGUUUAUUGUUAUCUGGGAUUUGACUUUUGAAUUUUUAGCAAAAAACAGCCGAACCCCAGUCCACCUGCUGGUUCUGUUCUUUGAAAGUAAGGUAGAAAAAUAUUGGCCACUCUGAAAAUAAAGGUGAUGAUAUGAAACUUUAAAUAGAAAUAAAAACAAAAAGAAAACAAGAAAAUAAAAUUAACACGAAAAACUGCUUCUUAGUUUCUUUGUAGCUUUUAAUUGUUUUCACACGAUAAAGUUUAUUAUCACAUCUAUUCAUGCUUGGA